This 222-nucleotide unclassified non-coding RNA is filed under the name plant metagenome. RNAcentral's name for it is "partial contains small subunit ribosomal RNA and internal transcribed spacer 1". The stretch from base 1 to 46 matches the Rfam family "Eukaryotic small subunit ribosomal RNA", at positions 1786 to 1831 of the family's 1831-position model. The record is from RNAcentral.
AAGUCGUAACAAGGUUUCCGUAGGUGAACCUGCGGAAGGAUCAUUACCUUUCUGGCUAUUUAAUAGCCUUGGUCUGGGGGCUCGCAGUUUCUGCAUGUCUCUGAUCUAGCAUCCGUGUUUUUGCGUACUACAUGUUUCCUCGGCGGGCCUUGCUUGCCGGUUGGACAAACCUAAAACAUCUUUGCAAUUGCAAUCAGCGUCUGAAUUAUAUAAUAUUAACAA